RNAcentral lists this ribosomal RNA (249 nucleotides) under uncultured bacterium. RNAcentral's name for it is "partial 16S ribosomal RNA". It matches the Rfam family "Bacterial small subunit ribosomal RNA", at positions 796 to 1041 of the family's 1533-position model. The record is from RNAcentral.
CACGCCCUAAACGAUGUCAACUAGGUGUUGGGUGGGUAAAACCAUUUAGUACCGGAGCUAACGCGUGAAGUUGACCGCCUGGGGAGUACGGCCGCAAGGUUAAAACUCAAAGGAAUUGACGGGGACCCGCACAAGCGGUGGAUGAUGUGGAUUAAUUCGAUGCAACGCGAAAAACCUUACCUACCCUUGACAUGUCAGGAAUCCCGGAGAGAUUUGGGAGUGCUCGAAAGAGAACCUGAACACAGGUGC